RNAcentral lists this ribosomal RNA (349 nucleotides) under bacterium. RNAcentral describes it as "bacterial SSU rRNA". It matches the Rfam family "Bacterial small subunit ribosomal RNA", at positions 28 to 382 of the family's 1533-position model. The record is from RNAcentral.
GAUGAACGCUGGCGGCAUGCCUAAAAUAUGCAAGUCGAACGAGAUAUUUAUAUCUAGUGGCAAACGGGUGAGUAAUGUAUAUUCAACCUACCUUAAAGAGAGGGAUAACUAUUAGAAAUGAUAGCUAAUACCUCAUAGGAUAUAGAUUGGCAUCAAUCUAUAUUUAAAGAUGCGUUUGCAUCGCUUUGAGAUGGGGAUAUAUUGUAUUAGAUAGUUGGUGAGGUAAAGGCUCACCAAGUCAAUUAUACAUAGCCGAGCUGAGAGGUUGAUCGGCCACAAUGGGAUUGAGAUACGGCCCAUACUCCUACGGGAGGCAGCAAUUAGGAAUUUUUCACAAUGGACGAAAAGU